Long non-coding RNA from Arachis ipaensis, 1439 nucleotides. RefSeq lists it as uncharacterized. NCBI's taxonomy places the organism in Eukaryota, Viridiplantae, Streptophyta, Magnoliopsida, Fabales, Fabaceae. The record is from RefSeq and is a predicted model, not a curated record.
CUUCUCCUCUCUCCAUCUCACUCGCGAAACCACUGAACCCUAGAUCCGCCAACCACCACCGCGAACCACCGUAGCCUCCACUAUCGAUGAGCCACGGCGACCCAACCCUCCUCUCCUUUCUCCGCGAGCCCAGAGCCACCAGCUCCUCCUCGCCGUCGUCCACCAUCACCUUCGCGCUAACCCAGAGCCCACUGUCCGCACUAGCAGCUUCCUCUUCUCCUUCCCAGCGCGUCUCAACACCUUCCCUGUCUCAGCUUCCGGUGCCAAAACUGCCGCACUCUAGCCCUGUUCUCCAGUUUCCGGCCAGCAAUCCGCCAACGCCAGAACCAUCCUGAAGCUGCCGUGCUCAACACCACCCAGUGACGCUGCUUGUCACUGCUGCUCCAACCCCUGUUUCCCCUGUUUCUUUGUUUUUCUUUUCUGUUCUUCAAACAGGAUGAAUCAUCGUAAAAAAAAAAUAAAUAAAAGAUGGACAUGGAUGCGGACUUGCGGAGGAUACCCUGAAUAAACUUUCUAUAUUUGUUUUGAUUAAUGCUGCUGUUUGGACAUGUUGCUGUUUCAUUGAUUUUUUUUCUUUGUUUGUUGCUGAUGAUUUGCCCCUGUGCUUAUUUGGCUUGCUUGAUGCUGCUGCUUGAACCUAUUACCUUUGUUUAUUGUGUUGUUUUGGUGCUAAAUUUUGGACCAUUAUUUCUGUUCAUUGUUCAUGGCUGUUGGAAUGAGCCAGUUGCUAGGUAUUGUUAAUGGUUGAUGGUGCAGUGAUGAUUUUGACCAAAAUUCUGAGUUUAGGUUAUUAUUGCUGCUGGUUGCUUAAUGGGUUAAAACUUAAUUGUUCAUUGCUGUUGUUGCUGUUUGCUGGCCUAUUUGUGAUUUCAUAUGAAUUUACAUCCGGUUUUUGCGUGUUUAAAUGUUAAAGCAUUCAUAGGAAGUUUGAAUUGAUUGGUUGAAUUGGGAAAAUAUGCCAAUUUACUGCUGAAAUGCUGCCGGAUUUUUCCUAACCAUGUUUCAUUAAAUGACAUUAUCUUAUUUGGUGCAACAAGACUCUAUUUGACGGAUUUCUGUGUCAAAAAGAAUCUUGUUUGCUAAAUGGUUUUGGAAAUUUCCUCAUGAGCUUCCUUACAAGUUUCGGUCAAUUCUUGAACUUCAUUGCUUGUUUUAAAUUGUGUGUUAUUCAUAAGUAUCACAUAGCCUUAAUUGAUUUUUCAAUUGACCAUAAACUUGAAAUUCUUUUGAGAAUUUGAGCCUCUUUUGCAUAAACUCACAAGUUUGAAGGUUUUAAAUCUAUGUGGCUGAUUUGAUUCAUUUUAUUCAUACCUAAUUUAUAUUAAGUCACAUAGAUCAUGGGGUUUUCAAUUCUUGUUUUAACUUGUGACUUUUAUGCUUCAUUGGAAUUUGGUGUUUGAAUGUUCCUUGAUUAAGUUGUUUCUCAAUGUUUUAACUUU